RNAcentral lists this ribosomal RNA (429 nucleotides) under Gemmatimonadota bacterium. RNAcentral describes it as "Gemmatimonadetes bacterium partial 16S ribosomal RNA". It matches the Rfam family "Bacterial small subunit ribosomal RNA", at positions 355 to 776 of the family's 1533-position model. The record is from RNAcentral. Lineage: Bacteria; Pseudomonadati; Gemmatimonadota.
UAUGGAAUCUUCGGCAAUGGACGAAAGUCUGACCGAGCAACGCCGCGUGAGUGAAGAAGGUUUUCGGAUCGUAAAACUCUGUUGUUAGAGAAGAACAAGGACGUUAGUAACUGAACGUCCCCUGACGGUAUCUAACCAGAAAGCCACGGCUAACUACGUGCCAGCAGCCGCGGUAAUACGUAGGUGGCAAGCGUUGUCCGGAUUUAUUGGGCGUAAAGCGAGCGCAGGCGGUUUCUUAAGUCUGAUGUGAAAGACCCCGGCUCAACCAGGGAGGGUCAUUGGAAACUGGGAGACUUGAGUGCAGAAGAGGAGAGUGGAAUUCCAUGUGUAGCGGUGAAAUGCGUAGAUAUAUGGAGGAACACCAGUGGCGAAGGCGGCUCUCUGGUCUGUAACUGACGCUGAGACUCGAAAGCGUGGGGAGCAAACAGG